Non-coding RNA from Dethiobacter alkaliphilus AHT 1, 77 nucleotides. NCBI's taxonomy places the organism in Bacteria, Bacillati, Bacillota, Dethiobacteria, Dethiobacterales, Dethiobacteraceae. The record is from Rfam.
AGGAGCCGUAUACCGAACGGUACGUACGGUUCUGUGGGAGGUCGGCUACCCAAUUAAUGGGUAGCCUCCUACCCGAU